Molecule: ribosomal RNA, 475 nt
Filed under: uncultured bacterium
Lineage: Bacteria
Description: bacterial SSU rRNA
Rfam family: Bacterial small subunit ribosomal RNA
Source: RNAcentral
CGGCGUGCUUGAUACAUGCAAGUCAAGGAGAACAUUAUCUUCGGAUAAUAAGUAAACUGGCGAACGGGUGAGUAACGCGUAAACAACUUGCCUCAGAGAUUGGGACAACAUUGGGAAACCAGUGCUAAUACCAAAUAAUGCAGCGGGCUCUUCGGAGCACAGUUGUUAAAGUAGGCUUCGGCUUACACUUUGAGAUAGGUUUGCGUCCGAUUAGUUAGUUGGUAGGGUAAAAGCCUACCAAGACCAAGAUCGGUAGCUGGUCUGAGAGGAUGAUCAGCCACACUGGAAUUGAGAUACGGUCCAGACUCCUACGGGAGGCAGCAGUAAGGAAUUUUGCACAAUGGGCGAAAGCCUGAUGCAGCAACGCCGCGUGAACGAUGAAGUUUUUAGGAAUGUAAAGUUCUGUCGUAUGGGAAGAGAUCUUUCGAAUGUUAAUACCAUUCGUUAAUGACGGUACCAUACAAGAAAGCACCGG